Molecule: transfer RNA, 74 nt
Filed under: Thermoplasmata archaeon
Lineage: Archaea; Methanobacteriati; Thermoplasmatota; Thermoplasmata
Also listed under: 1 other name
Description: tRNA-Cys
Rfam family: tRNA
About the family: Transfer RNA (tRNA) molecules are approximately 80 nucleotides in length.
Source: RNAcentral
GGGCAGGUAACAAAGUGGUUAUGUGGCGGACUGCAGAUCCGCAUACGGGGGUUCAAAUCCCUCCCUGCCCUCCA